UGGGAACACCAGACUGCGCAGUUUCAUCCACGCAGGUGAUAAGUGCGACCGGAAAUGAGCCUUGCACCCAAGUUGACUAGCUAGCAAUUAGCUGUGGUUAGAAAAGCGACUCAUUGUCAACACCUGAAGAAAGGAGGCCUCGGAGACUGAGGUGGGCAACUAGUGAGUAAAAUUACUCCAGAAAUAACGCAUGUGUACACCUGUGCUUGGUGCGAGUAAAGCUAACACCUAAACAUCCUGCGUCGACCCUUCUCCUGCUUGUGACAAUGGCUGAUUAAACCAGGUUUACCUGCAGACUCACCCUUUUAUAAAUAAAAGGCACAGUCAUUUUUUGUGCAUAACAUAAGUGAAGGCUCAGGUGACGCAGCUACCUACAAUGACUUACUGGACGCCUGAAGCUGUUUAAACGGUGUGGUAUGAAAGACCCAGUGACAUCUAGCAGUGAGGUUGCAGAUCACAACAUUCAACAAAUCUUUCAAACAGUGAUCAUCGUAAAGUGUGUCCUUGACCGCACAGGGGACACCACAGGAGUGACGUGUCCAGGUCCAGAUGCUGCGGUCUAUGAAAACACGACGUGGGCGAACCCCCUCUCUCAGAGGGUCUGGAGUUCAGAGCUGUUAUAACAUGAGAGGACAGCGGGAUUAGGCGAAAACCUACAGCUGUGGCUGGAUGUGUGUGUGAGGGAGAAAGAGUGGAUACAAAAGAUGAAGGAUGGGCGGUAGAUUGAAGCAUGGAAAGAUUGUGUUUACGAGCACAAGGUGGCUGUAUUUGUGCUGAGCUGAUUUCAGUCAAGAAUGUGUAGAAGUGUGAAUAUAAAAGUGUUGAAUGAUGGUGGCAAGGCUCAGGUGACCUCCUCAGGAUGGAAACAUGGCAAAUAAA
This is a long non-coding RNA of Monopterus albus (swamp eel), 879 nucleotides long. RefSeq lists it as uncharacterized. The transcript has 3 exons. The record is from RefSeq and is a predicted model, not a curated record. Lineage: Eukaryota; Metazoa; Chordata; Actinopteri; Synbranchiformes; Synbranchidae.